AAAGCUCGUAGUUGGAUUUCGGGUGUGUCGACGCGGUCUGCCUCUGGUAUGUACUGCGCUCGGUGCACCUUUCUGCUGGGGACGGGCUCCUGGGCAUAACUGCUUGGGACCUGGAAUCAGCGAAGUGACCUUGAGCAAACAAGAGUGUUCAAAGCAAGCCGACGCUCUGAAUUUUUUAGCAUGGAAUCACACGAUAGGACUCUGGCCUAUCUUGUUGGUCUGUAGGACCGGAGUAAUGAUUAAGAGGGACAGUCGGGGGCAUUCGUAUUUCAUUGUCAGAGGUGAAAUUCUUGGAUUUAUGAAAGACGAACUUCUGCGAAAGCAUUUGCCAAGGAUGUUUUCAUUGAUCAAGAACGAAAGUUGGGGGCUCGAAGACGAUUAGAUACCGUCGUAGUCUCAACCAUAAACGAUGCCGACUAGGGAUUGGCAGGUGUUCCAUUGAUGACCCUGCCAGCACCUUAUGAGAAAUCAAAGUUUUUGGGUUCCGGGGGGAGUAUGGUCGCAAGGCUGAAACUUAAAGGAAUUGACGGAAGGGCACCACCAGGCGUGGAGCCUGCGGCUUAAUUUGACUCAACACGGGGAAACUUACCAGGUCCAGACACGGGGAGGAUUGACAGAUUGAGAGCUCUUUCUUGAUUCUGUGGGUGGUGGUGCAUGGCCGUUCUUAGUUGGUGGGUUGCCUUGUCAGGUUGAUUCCGGUAACGAACGAGACCUCAGCCUGCUAAAUAGUCACGGGUACCUUCGGUACACGCCUGACUUCUUAGAGGGACUAUUGGCGUCUAGUCAAUGGAAGUGUGAGGCAAUAACAGGUCUGUGAUGCCCUUAGAUGUUCUGGGCCCGCACGCGCGCUACACUGAUGCAUUCAACGAGCCUAUCCUUGGCCGAGAGGUCUGGGUAAUCUUCGAAACUGCAUCGUGAUGGGGAUAGAUUAUUGCAAUUAUUAGUCUUCAACGAGGAAUGCCUAGUAAGCGCAAGUCAUCAGCUUGCGUUGAUUACGUCCCUGCCCUUUGUACACACCGCCCGUCGCUCCUACCGAUUGGGUGUGCUGGUGAAGUGUUCGGAUUGGCCUCAGUGGCGGGCAACCGCCGCCGUGGCCGAGAAGAACAUUAAACCCUCCCACCUAGAGGAAGGAGA
This 1134-nucleotide ribosomal RNA is filed under the name uncultured eukaryote. Its description in RNAcentral is "SSU rRNA". It matches the Rfam family "Eukaryotic small subunit ribosomal RNA", at positions 623 to 1786 of the family's 1831-position model. The record is from RNAcentral.